CCAAGAAAACGUUUGUCUCUAUUAAAGAUUAAUUAUUGGAAUUAAUUCUCUGGCAGGAAAGAAAUGGUACCGAGUCCCUCAUCAUCUCGGACAUGCCAAGUUUCUUGUGGGUCCUACAUCAAAUACAAAUUCGAGAAUCCUGUGCCUCAUUUUGAAGUCCAGCAUGCGCAAUAGUUUGAUAGCCAUCCGACAUCAAAAACGCAAACAUUACUUCUCACGAUGGAAUUCAUCAGCUGGGAGUGGAAGAAUGAGCUCAACUUUUAUUCCUACUUCUAUUCCUCCUUCCCUUCCUCACAUUCAUUGGCGUGUCCUCAGCCUCCGAUUUCGGAUA
This 331-nucleotide long non-coding RNA is filed under the name Phoenix dactylifera (date palm). RNAcentral's name for it is "long non-coding RNA (PDAC_LNC011836)". The record is from RNAcentral. Lineage: Eukaryota; Viridiplantae; Streptophyta; Magnoliopsida; Arecales; Arecaceae.